UACAGAGGUCCCGAGCGUUGUUCGGAUUCACUGGGCGUAAAGGGUGCGUAGGUGGCUUGAAAAGUUUGAUGUGAAAGCUCAGGGCUUAACCCUGAAAUGGCAUUGAAUACUGUCGAGCUGGAGGUUUGGAGGGGGGACUGGAAUUCUUGGUGUAGCAGUGAAAUGCGUAGAUAUCAAGAGGAACACCAGUGGCGAAGGCGAGUCCCUGGACAACAACUGACACUGAGGCACGAAAGCUAGGGGAGCAAACAGG
RNAcentral lists this ribosomal RNA (253 nucleotides) under uncultured bacterium. RNAcentral describes it as "partial 16S ribosomal RNA". It matches the Rfam family "Bacterial small subunit ribosomal RNA", at positions 524 to 776 of the family's 1533-position model. The record is from RNAcentral.